This 86-nucleotide transfer RNA is filed under the name Xylaria hypoxylon. It matches the Rfam family "tRNA". Rfam says of the family: Transfer RNA (tRNA) molecules are approximately 80 nucleotides in length. Their secondary structure includes four short double-helical elements and three loops (D, anti-codon, and T loops). Further hydrogen bonds mediate the characteristic L-shaped molecular structure. tRNAs have two regions of fundamental functional importance: the anti-codon, which is responsible for specific mRNA codon recognition, and the 3' end, to which the tRNAs corresponding amino acid is attached (by aminoacyl-tRNA synthetases). tRNAs cope with the degeneracy of the genetic code in two manners: having more than one tRNA (with a specific anti-codon) for a particular amino acid; and 'wobble' base-pairing, i.e. permitting non-standard base-pairing at the 3rd anti-codon position. Lineage: Eukaryota; Fungi; Ascomycota; Sordariomycetes; Xylariales; Xylariaceae. The record is from Rfam by way of RNAcentral.
AGAGAUUUGGCCGAGCGGUUUAAGGCGGCUAUUUUGAGUAUAGUUAGGGAUUAUAUCCUUCAAGGGUUCGAAUCCCUUAUUCUCUG